This 107-nucleotide small nuclear RNA is filed under the name Dasypus novemcinctus (nine-banded armadillo). The record is from RNAcentral. Lineage: Eukaryota; Metazoa; Chordata; Mammalia; Cingulata; Dasypodidae.
GGGCUCACUUUCACAGCACAUAUACUAAAAUUGAAAUGAUGCAGAGAAGAUUAGCUUGGCCCCUGUGCAAGGAUGACAUGCAAAUUCAUGAAGUGUUCCAUUUUUCU